This is a long non-coding RNA of Marmota monax (woodchuck), 2987 nucleotides long. RefSeq lists it as uncharacterized. The transcript has 3 exons. The record is from RefSeq and is a predicted model, not a curated record. NCBI's taxonomy places the organism in Eukaryota, Metazoa, Chordata, Mammalia, Rodentia, Sciuridae.
CCUCAGCCACUCCCCCUUCUUGGUUGUGGUUGGAUAUUAUGGUCUGACAAUUACAAGGGAAAAGAGGUGUGUGCAGGACAGCCCUGGCUCAUCCUGUGAGGGCAGCCUUCCUGGGACUCCUGGGAUGGGCCGGGUCAGCUGGUCCUGGAUCUCCCUGACCUGCCACGGACAGCCACCAGCAUGUGGAGACUGGCAGCUGGGCAAGCAGGAAGAGAGACAGCAAUCAACCCAGUCCAGUAAGAGGCAACCGCAGCGAGAAGGCCUGGGACAGAGACUGAAUGUGAGGGACUGGGACCUACUAGCCCUCAGGACUCUGCAGUGGUGAACAGGAGCCUCCAGUCUCCUCCCUUCUAACUGUGAAGGAGGCCAACUGGUCAUGAGUUUGGCUUCAGUUUUACUGGCGAAGUUAACUGUGGCUGCAUCCAGGGCCUGCAAGCUCAGACCCAAUGAGAACCUCACCUGAAGGCGGACAGUGACCACGGAACGGCACUCACACAGAGGACAACCGCGUGAACGUUCUGGGAUGCAGGUGGGGCUCCAGGACGGGAUCCUCUAGAGCGUGCCCAGGGUGGCCAGGUGAAUGCCCUGAGCCCCCCUGUCCUCCACAGCCCUGCCCACCACUGGGACCUUGUGCACCUCCUUCUCGGGAGAAGACCCAAGACAGGGUCCUCAGCAGCACGUGUGGAAUCUGUCCAAACACCCGGUCUCACUCCAGCAGUGUCACACCAAGUGUCUGCCCUCCCCAAAUUCGCCCUUCCUUGACUCUGCUAGACACCUCCAGCCUGGCACGCCUGGCAUGGCGGGGGCCUGAAAUCCUUCCACUCCGGAGGCUGAGCCCAGAGGAACUGAGCCCAAGAGUUCCGGGCCAGCUGAAGCAACACGAGGAGACUCCACCUCGUAGACCACAAGGACAACUGCAAAAGCUACUGCUGACGCCCUCUGGCAGGCCCAGCUCCACCAGCGCAGGGGCCUCACCAAGAGGUUUUGCUUGCUCACGUCUGCUGGGUUUCUCCCGUCUUCCAAGAGGGAAAUGUCAAGUGAGAGAAGCCCCAAAGCAACAUGGUAGUGUGACCUGCCUACACUCUCCUUGGCCCCAGGCCACACUCUCCCGCAGAUUGGUCAGGAAUCUGCUGCAAAAAGGUAUUCACAUUCUGAAUGAGCAAGUGAUCAGCCCUCAGUCUGACUAAGCUACAGAGAACCUCGCCAGGGUCUGGGAGCCACCCGCCUCCUAGGCAACCCUCACCACCAGCCGACUACCAGGCCAGCAUGCUGCCUCCUAGAGCCCAGGGCACACUGGGCUAGAGGGAGAAUCUGGCCUGCCAAGCACCAGGCUUUCCUCCAGACCUGGGCCACCGGCUUGCUGCCCAGGCUCUGCUCAGCCACGUGCACCUGAUUGGUGUCCGGGGUACCAGCUCCUCUCUCUUUGGCCACUUUCAGUUAGUUACUGCUAGUGCUGUGGCAUGGAUUUCAGAGCAAGACUUUCCACACACUAAAGGGGGGCUUCCUUGUGCUUCCUUCCUGCAGUGGGAGAGGCUGGUGCACAAGCCGCCUUCAGCACAAGGGCCAGGAAGGACCCAGCAACGCAAAAUUGAGUCCAGUGGAGAGACCAGCGUCUCUCUGCCCCUGUGGAACAGAGCCUGGACCACACGGUAGCAGGCCCUGUGGCUCAGAUGACAGGCACUGCAGGGCCAAGCCAGCAUGGCUCUGCAUCUGCCACAGAGCCCCGGAACUCACGACUGGUUGGGAGAAUCAGGGAACUUUGGGAUGGAAUAGAGGACAUUCCAGGUCCCCUGUUUGAAUGUCACGCUAUUCUGUUUUCACUUUAAAACACGGACACCCUCCUCAGGCCAUUCUGGCGCCCAGGGGGUCUGUCAGUGAUCAGCGGUCAGUGUGUGCUACACAGCUACUGGGCAGAGGAGGCCUAGAGCCCUCUGAAAGGGCGGAGCGGGGCUGGCUGUGCCUGCUGCAGACCGAGGCUGCUCACAGGGCCUGGGUGUAAGAUGAGCUUCACCAGGAACCAGGCCAGUUCCAGUCCACACAAGACAGACUCCAGGGUCACAGAGACAUUCUCAGGAGACUGGGGUCGUAAAAGGCCACGGUGCAAACUUGCAGAGGCGCCCGAGCCUGAAGAUGGAGAAGCUUGAGUUUUCACUCCCCUUGACCAAGGUCCAUCAGACACGCCCAUGGCGUUGUUCACAAUGAUGCCAAAAAAGCAUUCUGCCAUUUACAGGGUGCUGGGCACCGACUCAGCCUUCUGGGAACUGUGAAUCGCCAGGACAGGCAGAGGCAGUGGGGGCCCCAAGAGGGCAGGCAGGGGCAGCAGGCUGGGGCCUGUAACACAGCAAGCAGCAGCAGCCCCUGGCGGGUGUGCGGGGCGACCUGAACCCUAACCUGCCCAGGGCUCUGUCAGUCUACAGGACGUCACUCACAGGCCCACAUGGGAAUAAGCCAAACGUAGAAGGAGCAAAAUGCUACAAGAGGAAACCAGGGGCUUCGGCCAUUCAUGCAGGAGGGGAGAAGUGCUACCUAUCAAGAGGGUGUCAGGACACAGGAAUCCAGAUGAAGCAAGCCAAUCACAGAGAUGCAUUUUGAGACAGGGACAUUUCAACAGACUGGUGUUGUUAGAUAUUAAGAAACGUAUCCUCUAACACAAGUUUGAAAAUAAACAUAUCAACUAACAGAAUUAAAUUUGAUAUAAUUAUUUUACUUUAUAUUUUUAAGAAUUUGUUUCCACUCACGCAUCAUCAUUACACAUACCAGUGGGUCCUUAUGCCAACCUGUGGGACACCUGGCAGAAGCCGCUCUGUCUCCCCUGGCACCUCCUUUCCGCCUCUGCCCUGGUCCACUCACUCUCUGUCCUGGCUUCUGUCAUCGAGGCUGGUUAAGGACCGGUGCUCUGUGCACACACCCAGGAGCGGGUGCCCUGGGGCAGUCUCCUGGACAGGUUUGGGAAGCGGCUGGCCCUCCUUCCUCCCUCGACCCCUCGC